GAAUGCGAUCAUACCAGCACUAACGCACCGGAUUCCAUCAGAACUCCGAAGCUAAGCGUGCUUGGGUGAGAGUAGUACUAGAAUGGGUGACCCCCUGGGAUGUCCUCGUGUUGCAUCCC
Molecule: ribosomal RNA, 119 nt
Filed under: Nicotiana sylvestris (wood tobacco)
Lineage: Eukaryota; Viridiplantae; Streptophyta; Magnoliopsida; Solanales; Solanaceae
Source: RNAcentral